Panicum virgatum (switchgrass) is the source of this 1949-nucleotide long non-coding RNA. RefSeq lists it as uncharacterized. The record is from RefSeq and is a predicted model, not a curated record. NCBI's taxonomy places the organism in Eukaryota, Viridiplantae, Streptophyta, Magnoliopsida, Poales, Poaceae. The transcript has 2 exons.
CUCCUCGUCUCCCACUCGUCGCGCUCCUCAGAAUCCCGGCUCCUCGCGCCUCCUCUCCUCCGCACUCUGCUCCUUCAUCUCCUCGCAUCCUGCUCCUCCGCCUCCCUGUUCCUGAGCUGCACGCACCCAUGCCCUCCUCCUCGUUCCUGAGCUGCACACACCCAUGCCCUCCUCCUCUGACUCCAGGCCAUGCGCGGGCGGGGGGGGGGGGGGGUGUGGGGCGCAACACCCGGCCAUGGGGGCUGGCAGUGGCAGGCGCCAAGAUCCGUCCGCCGCGGACCCAGAUUCGGCGCAGCGGUGACGGAUCAAGAGCAGGCGGUGCUUCUUCCUCUCCGGUUCGGCGCGAAUCGAGACUGCGGGCUUCUUCCCCGGCGGCUCAAGCUGUCGAGCUUGGCUUCCAGCGGCGCGGAUCCAGGAGGCCUGGCUGCUCGCAAGCUCUCCAGGCGACGGCACAGACUCUUCUUCCCUGAGCAGCAAGUCGGCUCGAUGCAGCUCUCCUUCCGUGCGGUGGUUUCUCCCUCCCCGGCGGCACAGCCAUCUGCAGGAACAACAAGAAGUCAAGAAGAACAGGGUGCUGCUGAUGUCCUCUAACUUCUUUGGAAGCAUUCAAUCUAUUGCAUGGUGCUGGGGAGGCCAGAGUUGCUACUCGCAACCGUGUGAGGAGCUGGGGUGCCACCCCUCCCAGGCGAGUAGAUACUACAUCUUUGUUCUAAUAAUUUGCAUGCUAGAUAUUCGUUGAAACGUCUGACUGAAUCCAUCAGACAUGCAAAUCAAAAUCCAUCUUCUCUGCUAUGCACUAUAGAUCUGCAAUGUGCUUGUGCAUUCGUGUAGGAGGAUCCAGCACAAAUCUAAAUCCUUGUUGCUGCUUUUGCUGCUAGUGUAAGUGAACAAAACAUUUUCUUGUCUUUGACCUUGUUUCUUUUGGAAUGCUUCCGAACUUAAUUGGCUAAUUCCAUGUGCAUGCAUGCUGAGGUUGCUGUGGCCGCACAAAAAUGUUGAAUAAAUGGCAUCUUAUGUGACUUGGAAAAUCUGUCGAUUAUUCAUACGAGAUAAAACAUAUGGUCAAUUUUUAACCUGAUUCUGAGAAAAGAUGAACAACUUGCAGACUUCGCAUGUUUUAAUUUACUGUCCCAUGUUAUUUUCAUGCAGCUAUGUCUCUUGCUAAUCAAAUAACCUGCUUCGGCAUUCCUAAAUGUGCAAGAGUAACUAGGUUGCCAUGUGCAAAAAUGAUAUAUGGAGAUAGCUCAAUGCAAUUAUAGCUUUUAUGAGGUCUAGUAACAUAGCUUUUAUGGAACAUAGUUUUAUCUUAUCCAUGCCAAUGUGAGACUAAGAUGAUGUCAUUUGUACAUUAGAACAUAUAAAAGAACCAUUCAUAUCAGCUUGUUGACGUUUUUAUGUUUGAAGCUUAUCAACCAGAGCUCCUUAUUUGAUGUAGUAUAUUCGAAACUUCAAAUAAAAAUGUUUGUCUUCAAUUUACUUUGAAGAGACAUGUAUGUUUGUAACUACCAUCUUUCUUUUGAGCAGCCAAUCUUUUGGAUUCCCUGCAAUUCUCAAAAGUUAACUAUGCAUUGACAUUAAUUUGUGCAGGUGAUUUAAAGGGUUAAAGAACUGGCAAUUAGAAUAGAAGAGAAGCCUCGCAGAGAAGAAAUCAUUGGUAGCCAAAUGUGCUGCCACAACACUCUCAUCAAUACUGAUAGGUGGUGAAAAGGAAGUAUUUGCAUCCAUAGUUGCUGCUGGUGGUUACCAAUGAUUUCUUCUAUAUGUUCUUGUAUUUUGUUGUCUUCUAUCCUGCAAUGCUAGACUGCUAGUUUUGAUACAUGGAAAGAACUUUAUGUGAUCCAUUAUUAUGGUGUCAUGAUGCUGGGAUGCUAACAUUAUUGAUAUGAGGUUAUAAUUUGGGCUGUAAUUGAUUAUUGUGACUUUUGGGCUGAAACUUUUGUUUUGGUAAA